Molecule: long non-coding RNA, 1049 nt
Filed under: Mus caroli (Ryukyu mouse)
Lineage: Eukaryota; Metazoa; Chordata; Mammalia; Rodentia; Muridae
Description: predicted gene 16555 (MGP_CAROLIEiJ_G0003035.1)
Source: RNAcentral
GGCUUACAUAACUAGCUUUACAAUGCUUCAUUGCUCUCAUGUCAUUUGUCUUCAAGGAUCGUCACUUUGUUGAGAGAGGCAUGACAGAAAACUUCUCCUGGCAUCCUUGCUGGCCCUAGUCUCUCCUGCUGACUUGUACAGAUUCAGUAGAGGCCUGGCUGUUUCCACUGGGUGGUGUUCACUAUCCUGAUACUACUUAACUGGAUUGCUGGUAUAUAUCCUGACAACACAGGAAGCCACGUGAUCCUGAAGCUGUGCAGGAAGAGCCACUAGAAACCUGUGUCCUAGAAAUCAAGAUCUUGAACUUGGCUCCUCUAGUCCCUGACUUUUAUACGGGAAGUUGGUGAGCCUGCAACUGUGUCUGUGUGAUUGUGGAAAUGUGUGUGUGUGUGUGUGUGUGUGUGUGUGUGUGUGUAUUUGAGUGCAUGUGUGUGCCUGAGUGCCCUGGUAUGAUGGAGCUGGAGAGAGAGAGAGGGGCGUCUGUGAGAGUGGAGAGCUGGAGCCCAGGCACAAGCAUGAGUCUCUGAAAGAUUAGAUGCAGUGGGCAUGGACCAGAGUUAAAGGGUACUGGAUGGUGUGGUGUGAAUCUUCCUGUGUCUGAUGCUCACAGGUGGUCAUUGACAUAUGCACCUGUGCAUGAUGGGAGGGGCAUGGAGGGUGGCAGGAGGAAGGGCCUGGGGUGACUGUUCACAGAGGGGCUCAGGGUUUGUGAAUCAGAGGCUAAGUGGAAAGGCCCUGCAAUCCAGGAUCUGGAAGAGCUUAUGUAAUUUUGUCACUCACUGUGUUUUUCUGUGUAUGAGUACUUGGAUUAAGGAAGCUUCCUAAGUAUCCAUCAGCAGAAGAAUGAAUAAAGAAAGUGCAGUUUGAGGCUGGAGAGAUGGCUCAGUGGUGAAAAGGACUGACUACUCUUCCAGGGGUCCUGAGUUCAAUUCCCAGCAACCACAUGGUGGCUCACGACCAUCUGUAAUGGGAUCCAAUGCCUUCUUCUGGUGUGUCUGAAGACAGCGACAGUGUACUCAUGUGCCUGAAAUGAAUAAAUAAAUAAAUCU